Molecule: ribosomal RNA, 119 nt
Filed under: Pteropus alecto (black flying fox)
Lineage: Eukaryota; Metazoa; Chordata; Mammalia; Chiroptera; Pteropodidae
Also listed under: 1 other name
Source: RNAcentral
GUCUACGGCCAUGCUACCCUGAACAAGCCCAAUCCCGUCUGAUCUCAGAAGCUAAGCAAGGUCGGGCCUGGUUAGUAUUUGGAUGGGAGACCACCUAGGAAGACCAGGUGCUGUAGGCA